UGGGCUCAGAUCCUACCUAGAAGCAGACCC
Molecule: non-coding RNA, 30 nt
Filed under: Homo sapiens (human)
Lineage: Eukaryota; Metazoa; Chordata; Mammalia; Primates; Hominidae
Source: RNAcentral